AAUAAUAAUAAUAAUAAUAAUAAAUAAAUAAAUAAAUAAAAAUACCCAUUCCAUCACACCAAAAGUCCAAUUGUAUGAUGGCCUUGCUGCAGUAACUUUUAGGCAUCCAUAUACAGUGACCACAUAAAUUAGCUACAGUAAUUUUUAGUCACCCAUAUAAGUAACAAGUCCAUGUAAUCAGGCUGAAGCAUCUUCAUAGCUUAAUUCAUGUUCUCAUCAUUCAUAGUUAGCUUCAUCUAAAGACCUCGUGAAACCAAUAGUUUGCCGGGAUAACCAAAUGACUACUAUAGAAAGCAAUUCUUUCAAUAGUCAACACAUUCGCCUUCAAAGCGAAAGUUCAUUUUACAACCAGCAAAUUAAACAUAUAGCAUUUGCAGAAUAUAACAAGAACACAAAAAAAAUAUAUAAUAAAAUAAUAAAUAAAACAUGACCUCAAAGCCAAGCUAAAUUUUUAAACAAGUCCUAAAGAAUGCAAAACAAAUCCAAGCCACAAAAAUUUACAACACUAUAUUUCAAUUCCAUAACCAUCCCCCACCCUGCAUCGACCCCAACUACCAUUUGAAAAAAAAAAAUCCGUUGGGGAUCACCAACAAUGAAAUACACCUUAAAGAAUAACAGAUCAUGUUGGGCAUUUGAGAAACAUAGUUUGUUCCUCAAUUAAAUAAGCUCUUCAUUACAGCAAGUUAAUUAAUAUAAGACUCAAUCUUCACCAACAUAGGUAAAACUUAGCAAGAGAGAAAAGUAUUCCAAUCUAUUCAUGAUUAAAUAAACAUUUACAUUUUUGGGAAUUAAAAACGACAACUUCUCAGCGGGAAUGUACAUACAUAUACGAAAAACCAUUUUACAAAUAGACGGAUCAAGAUCAAUUUUAAAAAUCAAAAGAAAAGGGUACGUAG
RNAcentral lists this unclassified non-coding RNA (896 nucleotides) under Hevea brasiliensis (rubber tree). Lineage: Eukaryota; Viridiplantae; Streptophyta; Magnoliopsida; Malpighiales; Euphorbiaceae. The record is from RNAcentral.